GACCUCGAAUCAGGUAGGGAUACCCGCUGAACUUAAGCAUAUCAAUAAGCGGAGGAAAAGAAACCAACC
Molecule: ribosomal RNA, 69 nt
Filed under: Arthroderma quadrifidum
Lineage: Eukaryota; Fungi; Ascomycota; Eurotiomycetes; Onygenales; Arthrodermataceae
Description: partial 28S ribosomal RNA
Rfam family: Eukaryotic large subunit ribosomal RNA
Source: RNAcentral